Molecule: non-coding RNA, 119 nt
Organism: Echria macrotheca
Lineage: Eukaryota; Fungi; Ascomycota; Sordariomycetes; Sordariales; Schizotheciaceae
Source: the annotation of a GenBank genome assembly
GGGCGGGUAGCGCAGUGGUCAAGCGUGCUCCGUGAGCGUAACCAGCGUUGUUUUCUAUUCUAAAACUCAUCAUUCGAAGCGUUCAUCGAGAGACCUGGGUUCGAAUCCCAGCCCGCCCA